CUGAUUUCUGCUUUAAUACAUGCAGAUACGUUAUUUGGUUUUCCAUUGGCAGUCCCCAGUUUCUGGAGACCAAGUUUCAAACUCUGAGAACUCUGCUGUGACUUUGAAGGGGGCUGAAGAACACUUUUGCAGAAGCUUUCCACAGGAAGAGCUGGCAUCCGUAUGUGGGCUGAAGAAGAGAAGCAGGAAACCAAGAAGUUUGUUGCAUCUUCAGGAUGAGUGGAUUCUAUGUCUCUCUGCAUCCCUUUCUGUAGGCUUCACAAGAAGGGUUUUGCUGUGCUAGGACAUCUUCCUACAUCUUCUAAGGGUAUACCUGUGAAGGAUGCCAGGAUGGCCCUUGAUUCCAC
Molecule: long non-coding RNA, 347 nt
Filed under: Phasianus colchicus (ring-necked pheasant)
Lineage: Eukaryota; Metazoa; Chordata; Aves; Galliformes; Phasianidae
Description: lncRNA (ENSPCLG00000000709.1)
Source: RNAcentral